AUGAGGGGUAUAUAAAUUGUCCCGCAUUUACGAAGCACCAGUCAGCUGAGCAUCACACAGCGUCAACAUGAAGUUCGUCGUCGUUCUUUGCCUCUUCGCCCUGGCCUUCGCCGCCCCUCAGGAGGACGCUCAGAUCCUCGGGGACGAAAUAGCCGAAACUCGACAGAAGUUCCAGAAGAAGAAGUGUCCUUAGUCAUAACACAAGCCCGGGAGAUUCAUGGCUCCCCUAAACUCAAAAGAAGCAGCGACAUCUUCCCCACCCCUGCCAGCCUUCAUGAACGCGUCCAGUUUGAUUAUUCCACCAGAGCGUUCACGAACUCCUCAGGAUCGCCAGAAAACACCGUCUUCGGUUAACAACCUCUCAAGAGAUGUUCGUCACUGCUCGCCCCCUGCUGCAUCUCUGAUCCUUUUCCUUGCUGAAUAUGAAGUAGAUAUCUACCUUUCUUGUUUGUUUCCAGAAUAUCACAUCAGUUUUUCAUUCACAGAUCAUAAAUUAUCCUAAUAAAUGUGGUUACCAUAAGGGUUUUGGUUUUUUGUCCAUUCUUAAAGGCGAAUCCAGUGACUCCUUCAUUUUGUGUUACUGUUAAUUAUAUAAACGAACUGUAGGUACAUGACAACCUCCGUUGCUUCAUUUGAUCUUCAUGCUAUAGUAGAUUCACAUCAACCGUGCGUUUGAUGCCUAGGCCCUUCCCUUACGACGCUCCUGAUUGCCUGUUGAUAAGCCACUCACCGGGCUGGAAACUCUCAGUCUCUCUUGA
Macrobrachium nipponense is the source of this 758-nucleotide long non-coding RNA. RefSeq lists it as uncharacterized. The record is from RefSeq and is a predicted model, not a curated record. Lineage: Eukaryota; Metazoa; Arthropoda; Malacostraca; Decapoda; Palaemonidae. The transcript has 3 exons.